CCUACGGGGCGCAGCAGUAGGGAAUCUUCCACAAUGGGCGAAAGCCUGAUGGAGCAACGCCGCGUGGGUGAAGAAGGUCUUCGGAUCGUAAAACCCUGUUGUUAGAGAAGAAAGUGCGUGAGAGUAACUGUUCACGUUUCGACGGUAUCUAACCAGAAAGCCACGGCUAACUACGUGCCAGCAGCCGCGGUAAUACGUAGGUGGCAAGCGUUAUCCGGAUUUAUUGGGCGUAAAGGGAACGCAGGCGGUCUUUUAAGUCUGAUGGGAAAGCCUUCGGCUUAACCGGAGUAGUGCAUUGGAAACUGGGAGACUUGAGUGCAGAAGAGGAGAGUGGAACUCCAUGUGUAGCGGUGAAAUGCGUAGAUAUAUGGAAGAACACCAGUGGCGAAAGCGGCUCUCUGGUCUGUAACUGACGCUGAGGUUCGAAAGCGUGGGUAGCAAACAGGAUUAGAUACCCGGGUAGUC
This 465-nucleotide ribosomal RNA is filed under the name uncultured bacterium. RNAcentral's name for it is "partial 16S ribosomal RNA". It matches the Rfam family "Bacterial small subunit ribosomal RNA", at positions 338 to 795 of the family's 1533-position model. The record is from RNAcentral.